Molecule: long non-coding RNA, 466 nt
Organism: Sinocyclocheilus anshuiensis
Lineage: Eukaryota; Metazoa; Chordata; Actinopteri; Cypriniformes; Cyprinidae
Exons: 4
Source: RefSeq, a predicted model, not a curated record
UCCAUAAAUGGAAAGGCGGAAGCUGUUUUUCAUGACUUUGAAGUGUGCGAAAUAUUUUCGAUUUCUCUUCUGUCAGCAACGGUUUACUAAGCCAAACCACCUAAAAGGAAUUGGAAGAUCACACAUAGAGACCAAAAACAACAACACAACAACUGUUCUUCGCUGAACUGAGCUGAGAGAUUCAACGCGCUUGAAAACAGACGCCGAAGUUGUGGUUUUUCGGCUUAACAGUGGUUUUAGGGUUCACAGUGUCGUGGCAACAACGUAAAAUUGGACAUAACCUCAUACAGAAAAGGCAUGAACUCUCGAGGUAUGGAAGUCACGGCCAACAGACUGGAUCUCAGCGUUCCCUUCCUCUCUUUUGUCCCAGGGGUCUGUCUGUGGCAUCCAUCCAGGUCGAACUCGCAGUUCCAUGUACCAGGAUGAUUUGUGGGGCUCACUGAAGGGCGAAGUGGGAUUCCACCAG